This 73-nucleotide transfer RNA is filed under the name Chlorella sorokiniana. Its description in RNAcentral is "tRNA-Ala". The record is from RNAcentral. RNAcentral also lists the same sequence under 1 other name. Lineage: Eukaryota; Viridiplantae; Chlorophyta; Trebouxiophyceae; Chlorellales; Chlorellaceae.
UGGAAACGAUCGGAUUCGAACCGAUGACUUUAUGCGUGCAAAGCAUACGUUCUACCAACUGAACUACAUCCCC